This 262-nucleotide ribosomal RNA is filed under the name uncultured archaeon. Its description in RNAcentral is "partial 16S ribosomal RNA". It matches the Rfam family "Archaeal small subunit ribosomal RNA", at positions 748 to 1008 of the family's 1478-position model. The record is from RNAcentral.
AGGGUGUAAACGCUGCAGACUUGGUGUUGGAAGCCCUUUGGGGGCAUUCAGUGCCGGAGAGAAGUUGUUAAGUCUGCUACUUGGGGAGUACGUCCGCAAGGAUGAAACUUAAAGGAAUUGGCGGGGGAGCACCGCAACGGGAGGAGCGUGCGGUUUAAUUGGAUUCAACACCGUAAAACUCACCAGGGAAGACUGUUACAUGAAACCCAGACUAAUGAUCUUGGUUGAUUUUUCAGAGAGGAGGUGCAUGGCGUCAGUGACU